AUGCUCAACUGUCACCCCGUUGCUACUCCUGCUGACACGAAGGCCAAGGUUUCUGCUCUUGAGGGCUCUCCAGCGUCGGAUGCUCCUUUCUACCGGUCUAUCGUUGGUGCUCUUCGGUAUCUGACUCUCACCAGACCGGAUCUUCAGUAUGCUGUUCAGCAGGUGUGUCUCCACAUGCACGCCCCUCGUGAGUCCCAUUGGACCCUCGUGAAGCGGAUACUCCUUUACAUUCGCGGCACGAUGACCCUUGGACUCACCCUCACGGCAUCCACUUCUCUAGAGAUGAUGGCCUACUCCGACGCGGACUGGGCUGGCUGCCCAGACACUCGUCGGUCCACCUCUGGCUACUGCGUCUACCUCGGUCCUUCACUCGUUUCGUGGUCGUCCAAGCGACAACCCACGGUUUCGCGCUCCAGCGCGGAGGCUGAGUACCGAGCUGUGGCUAACGCUGUUGUGAGUGCACCUGGCUAUGACAGUUACUUCAGGAGCUGCAUCAUGACGUCUCCCAGGCUACAGUUGUCUACUGCGACAAUGUUUCUGCGGUGUACCUCUCCGCCAACCCCGUUCAUCAUCGCUGGACUAAACACAUUGAGCUAG
This 597-nucleotide ribosomal RNA is filed under the name Triticum aestivum (bread wheat). RNAcentral describes it as "partial small subunit ribosomal RNA". Lineage: Eukaryota; Viridiplantae; Streptophyta; Magnoliopsida; Poales; Poaceae. The record is from RNAcentral.